Non-coding RNA from Podarcis lilfordi (Lilford's wall lizard), 74 nucleotides. Lineage: Eukaryota; Metazoa; Chordata; Lepidosauria; Squamata; Lacertidae. The record is from the annotation of a GenBank genome assembly.
GACCUGAUGUGGUAUAGUGGCCAGUGUGUUGGUCUAGGACCUACGAGAUGGGGGUUCAAAUCCCCCCACAGUCA